GGCUGGUCCGAAGGUAGUGAGUUAUCUCACUUGAUUGUUCACAGUCAGUUACAGACUGAACUCCUUGUUCUGUUCUUUCCCCCUCUUCUCACUACCGUACUUGACUAGGAAAA
Molecule: Y RNA, 113 nt
Filed under: Propithecus coquereli (Coquerel's sifaka)
Lineage: Eukaryota; Metazoa; Chordata; Mammalia; Primates; Indriidae
Description: Y RNA (ENSPCOG00000011957.1)
Rfam family: Y RNA
About the family: Y RNAs are components of the Ro ribonucleoprotein particle (Ro RNP), in association with Ro60 and La proteins. The Y RNAs and Ro60 and La proteins are well conserved, but the function of the Ro RNP is not known.
Source: RNAcentral